GAGAGAUGGCUGAGUGGUUGAUAGCCCCGGUCUGRAAACYGGUAUAGUU
Molecule: transfer RNA, 49 nt
Filed under: Myoxanthus lonchophyllus
Lineage: Eukaryota; Viridiplantae; Streptophyta; Magnoliopsida; Asparagales; Orchidaceae
Description: partial tRNA-Ser
Source: RNAcentral